Molecule: non-coding RNA, 1404 nt
Organism: Lolium perenne
Lineage: Eukaryota; Viridiplantae; Streptophyta; Magnoliopsida; Poales; Poaceae
Source: RefSeq, a predicted model, not a curated record
UAAUAUAAUCGGGGAGAGUGCUGACCUAAAGUGGGUUUAUUUUGGAUGGGUGGUCAUGUAAUUCUAGCCAUUGGAUAUAUUUUGGAUGUAAGAAAAAAAACAUUCAAGUCCGGAUAAGAAUAAGAGAAGGAAAUGGAGAAUAAAAAGCCCAGGUCUUUCUGGACGGAACUAUCGCACGCACCAUCCAGGCCGCGCCGCCAAGGGUUUGGGACUUCCACUGCUGCCGUCGCUGGAAUUGCUGCUGGUUGCUGCUCUGCCUUGGUCGCACCUAGUCGCCGCCCCUUGCAUCGCUUGUUGCAGCCUUUGAUUUGGUUGAAUCGCCAGGCAUGUUGCCCCGCCAGCAGCAGUACCAAUGUUCUUCAGAUUCGAUUCUUUGAUCCGUAGUUACAUGCCAUGGAUCGAUUAGUCUGAUGGGUAGGCGUUAGCUAACUAGAAGCUGCAAUGUGAAUGAUGAUCUGACAGCAAAACCUGAAUUGUUUAUCCGAUCCUGGGCAAGUGUAUAAGACGAGAUGGGUCGUUUGGCAGCACUAGCUAGCUAAAGCAACCUAGUACUGCUUCACUAAUUAAAACCAAGAUUUACUAAUUGAUGUGAGGUCACGGCUACAAGAUAUGCAUGGAACUUGGAAGUAAGUGAAUAAAGAUUGUUUUAAACCGCUUUGUUUGAUGUACUUACUACUUAUCAGGAAAAAUAAACUGCAACACUUCUGCACAAUUUAUGGAUAUAAGGGUUCGGAUGAUGAUGCACUUUGCAGAUAAGGAACAUAUAUCAUGUCUACUAUUGGUUCAGAUCGUGGGUUGGGGGUUGCAACUUGCAAACUAUGAGCCUAUACCAGGAUAGGACAGACUUACAUGUACCUGCAAUAUUUGUGAUAAUUAUUACUUUUAGAGUAGUUCUGAUGAUAGGUUUGCCAUAGGUUUGAGAGCAUCAGGUGUCGAGUGUAAUUCUACGAAUUAAAAGUUUGAUUCAAGGCAAGUGCAUUACGAACCUUCUUGUCGCUUUAAUGUUUGAUCGCGUUGUUUUCUGUGCAUCUGGUGUGCUUCGUUGUUAAUUGGUAAUUUGACUCAAUAAUUUCCUCCUAAACUUAUUGGGCCACGGGUUGGUAAAUUCCGAGCCAAUACUGCCGCAGGUUGGCAAACUCCGAGCCAACGCGUUGGUACUAAGUAAACGACAUGCAUGGGGACCCAGGCAUAGCACAUCUACAUUGCUGAGCACAUCACACAUAUUUAGAUAAUAUCAUGCAAACAUCCAUGCUUCUAUUUCUACUAGUCGUACUAUAUUAGUCACUUAAUCCCCAUUACCUUGUGAACAGUUAUGUUUGGCAUCUUCCGAUAUACUCAGACUUUUGUGAAUCCGGUGGUUGUUUCUUUAAAGUUGAAAUGUCACUACAUAUCCUCUUAUUGCUA